Molecule: long non-coding RNA, 691 nt
Filed under: Marmota monax (woodchuck)
Lineage: Eukaryota; Metazoa; Chordata; Mammalia; Rodentia; Sciuridae
Source: RNAcentral
CCCAUGACCUGAGCUGGUGACAUUCAACAGACAGGACCAUGGUUACAUGCUGAAGUGUCCUUGCCCUGUGGAAUGCACUUUGUCUUCUCACUGAGUCAAUCCCGAACUCUCUGCUCCCUAGGGACACCUCACAACCCCAGUGUCCCAGCCUCUGCACGCAUGGGCGCUGCACCUGAGUCUCAAGGAAAGCAAAGCCGUCUGGGGUAUCCCAGGUGUCCCAUCAAGACACACUCCCCAGGAGAGACAAGGUCCAUCUUUUUUAAGGAGAUCCAGUGUCCUGAGAACCUGGGACGAACACCUCCUGGAGUUCCUCCCAUGGGACCAAGCAGGGGCUGCAGUUCUGAGGUCAAGGAUGCCAAGAGGGCUCUGGGGACAGCACUAUUCACAAUGUCCCCAAGGUGGAAGUAGUCCAAGUAUGCACGGACAGGUGAGUUGAUGAACUGGUGGUCCUGCUUAGUCCUACCACACAUGGAAUCAUGUUCAGUCUUAGAAAGAAAGGAAAUUCUGACCCAACCCAUGCUGCAGCACGGAUGGAUCCUGAGGACAUCAGGCUAAAUGAAAUAGGGUGAUCACAAAAGGACAGGUACUGUAUGAUUCCACCUAUAAGAGGUCCCCAGAGGAGUCAAAUUCACAGAGGCAUAAGUUAGAAUGGCAGGUACCAGGGCUGGGGGAGGGGAAGAGGGAGUCAGUG